GAUGAACGCUGGCGGCGUGCCUAAUACAUGCAAGUCGAGCGAACGGACGAGAAGCUUGCUUCUCUGAUGUUAGCGGCGGACGGGUGAGUAACACGUGGAUAACCUACCUAUAAGACUGGGAUAACUUCGGGAAACCGGAGCUAAUACCGGAUAAUAUUUUGAACCGCAUGGUUCAAAAGUGAAAGACGGUCUUGCUGUCACUUAUAGAUGGAUCCGCGCUGCAUUAGCUAGUUGGUAAGGUAACGGCUUACCAAGGCAACGAUGCAUAGCCGACCGGAGAGGGUGAUAGGCCACACUGGAACGGGGACGCGGUCAAGACUACUACGGGAGGCAGCAGUAGGGAAUCUUCCGCAAUGGGCGAAAGCCUGACGGAGCAACGCCGCGUGAGUGAUGAAGGUCUUCGGAUCGUAAAACUCUGUUAUUAGGGAAGAACAUAUGUGUAAGUAACUGUGCACAUCUUGACGGUACCUAAUCAGAAAGCCACGGCUAACUACGUG
RNAcentral lists this ribosomal RNA (497 nucleotides) under uncultured bacterium. Its description in RNAcentral is "partial 16S ribosomal RNA". It matches the Rfam family "Bacterial small subunit ribosomal RNA", at positions 28 to 507 of the family's 1533-position model. The record is from RNAcentral.